GCGGGCGUAGCUCAAUGGCAGAGCGUCAGCUUCCCAAGCUGAACACGCGGGUUCGAUUCCCGUCGCCCGCUCCA
This 74-nucleotide transfer RNA is filed under the name Propionibacteriaceae bacterium. Its description in RNAcentral is "tRNA-Gly". It matches the Rfam family "tRNA". Rfam says of the family: Transfer RNA (tRNA) molecules are approximately 80 nucleotides in length. Their secondary structure includes four short double-helical elements and three loops (D, anti-codon, and T loops). Lineage: Bacteria; Bacillati; Actinomycetota; Actinomycetes; Propionibacteriales; Propionibacteriaceae. The record is from RNAcentral.